CCUACGGGGGGCUGCAGUGGGGAAUAUUGCACAAUGGGCGAAAGCCUGAUGCAGCAACGCCGCGUGAGCGAUGAAGGCCUUAGGGUCGUAAAGCUCUGUCCUUGGGGAAGAAAAAAAUGACGGUACCCAAGGAGGAAGCCCCGGCUAACUACGUGCCAGCAGCCGCGGUAAUACGUAGGGGGCAAGCGUUAUCCGGAAUUAUUGGGCGUAAAGAGUACGUAGGUGGUCUUUUAAGCGCAGGGUUUAAGGCAAUGGCUUAACCAUUGUUCGCCCUGUGAACUGGAAGACUUGAGUGUAGGAGAGGAAAGUGGAAUUCCUAGUGUAGCGGUGAAAUGCGUAGAUAUUAGGAGGAACAUCAGUGGCGAAGGCGACUUUCUGGACUAUUACUGACACUGAGGUACGAAAGCGUGGGGAGCAAACAGGAUUAGAUACCCUAGUAGUC
RNAcentral lists this ribosomal RNA (442 nucleotides) under uncultured Eubacteriales bacterium. RNAcentral's name for it is "bacterial SSU rRNA". It matches the Rfam family "Bacterial small subunit ribosomal RNA", at positions 338 to 795 of the family's 1533-position model. The record is from RNAcentral. Lineage: Bacteria; Bacillati; Bacillota; Clostridia; Eubacteriales.